GACCGUGAAGUGGGGGUAAUCCGGUAAUUCCAUAAGAAGAUCCUCAGGAGUGUUACUUCUCCUGCCAAAAUAAACUCAACCCAAAAUUUCGGCCGGUCAUACGAAGAGUUUCUGAAGUACGUCUCCUCGUGUUGAGACAAGCCAAGCCGAAACCUUGUGCUAAGAUAAGCCGAGCUCGAAAUCUUGUACCAACACUACUUGAAGGUUGUAUCAGUAAGAAAAAUAUCUACCCAAAUAGCAAACCUCGGCUUGAGAAUGUCGGAGCACAAACCGAAGUUGAAAACUUCGAAAAAUA
Molecule: long non-coding RNA, 295 nt
Filed under: Elaeis guineensis (African oil palm)
Lineage: Eukaryota; Viridiplantae; Streptophyta; Magnoliopsida; Arecales; Arecaceae
Description: long non-coding RNA (EGUI_LNC029148)
Source: RNAcentral